GUCCUUGUCGAUUAGUGGUUAGAUCAUGACGUUGUGGAAUUUAUUCAGAGUUACCGUCAAGACGGAGGUUCGACUUCUCCCUGGGACA
Molecule: non-coding RNA, 88 nt
Organism: Collybia nuda
Lineage: Eukaryota; Fungi; Basidiomycota; Agaricomycetes; Agaricales; Clitocybaceae
Source: the annotation of a GenBank genome assembly